CGCAGUGAAAACAUAGACAAAGAGCUCAUUGUCUAUUCGUGCGCAUCUUUUGGCCGACGGUGUGAAAAGCCGUCCUCGACCCCAACCAGAUGUGCGUGUGCUCGUGAAGAGAGCCAUUCUAAAGAUCAGAAACCACUAGACAUUAGGA
Non-coding RNA from Caenorhabditis elegans, 148 nucleotides. NCBI's taxonomy places the organism in Eukaryota, Metazoa, Nematoda, Chromadorea, Rhabditida, Rhabditidae. The record is from Ensembl.